UGAUGAAUCUGCUUGAAGAAAAGGAUAACAUGGAGACCUGGGAGAGUGGGAAUAUAGCUUACCUCUAGACCAACAGAGGUGCCCACGUUGAUGGCUUUGAUCUCCACUGCAGACAGCGUUCUGCUCCAUCUCAAAAGAGGUUGCCGUGUGUGCCCCAUUAGCUGGCCUUUGGAAUAAACUUGCAACAGACCUCACAGCUAGAAUUCCACCACUGACCAUUCACAAAGAGGUGCUGGGACUGCAGUCAUGAGUAGUGAAACAAGAUCUUCACUCCGGAGGAGGAGACACUCUGGCCUGGAGGUACCAUAAACAAGAAUGCAAAUAAUGCAAGGGCUGUGGAUGAAACCAAGGCAAGAACUAGAAUGACCAGCUUGUAUCGGAAGGGCUGUGCAGGACAGGGUGGCCGGAGAUGGCCUUUCUCAGGAGAUGCCACGUACGCUGGUGUCUGACGACGGAAAGGGCCCCUGAGUGAGCUUGGGGAGUAGCCACUAGCAGCAGUGCAGGGGCCAGGCCCUCCGUGAGCUGGGGUCCAGGCCCUAGUGUGCUUCUGUGUGCAUGCUAAGUUGCUUCAGUUGUGUCCAAC
Long non-coding RNA from Cervus elaphus (red deer), 583 nucleotides. RefSeq lists it as uncharacterized. Lineage: Eukaryota; Metazoa; Chordata; Mammalia; Artiodactyla; Cervidae. The record is from RefSeq and is a predicted model, not a curated record. The transcript is spliced from 3 exons.